GAAGCCAGAAGCCCAAAAUUUCCCCCUCCUUCACCGGAUUCACUUUCGAUUUCCUCCGGCUGCGCGCUGAAAUACAAACUCGCUCCCUGCAGGUUCCAUAUAAAAGGGGCGGGAAGGAGGCGCCGCAGCUACAUUCGCCACUCGGCUCUUCCGCGCGCAGGGUUCUCUGCAUCACCUGGGAAGGAAGACCAAGAGUUACCAAUGGAUUCUCUACUUGGUGCUGUAAUUGGCCUGGGGACGGCAGCGGUGGCUGUCCCGGCCGCAGUUGGACUUCUGGGCUUCAGUAGUGCAGGAAUUGUGGUUGGUUCAAUUGGCGCCAAGAUGAUGUCUGCUGCCGCCAUUGCGAAUGGAGGCGGAGUGGCUGCUGGGGGUUUGGUUGCCACCCUGCAGUCCAUUGGGGCUGCAGGGGUGCCGACUGCUGUGACAGCAGCAACAACUGCCACAGGAGCAGUGCUGGGAGCCUUAAAGGACGUUUGCGGUUGAGGGACCAGAGAACAUCCCCCCCCUCUUCUCCAGAGGCCUGUCAAAGGCCUCUGAAGGAAAACCUGCUUGCAGUGGAAAUGGCUGGAUCUUCAUAGAGUGCUUGAAUGAUUAGUUUAGCCUGCUUUCUUGUGGACUUGUUCCACUGUUUGUCUUGUUCUAAUAAAAAUUCCUUAUAACUUUUCUGUGCCUCAGUUUAUAUGAAAUGUAACAGGAUGUCCACCUUGGUGGGUUUCCAUUCCUCAAGUUCACAAUUGCCUCUUUUCCAGCCCCAAGCCUCUCUUCUGAAGCUCAAAGCACUACAGAUGUGCAAGGUAAAAAGUAAAAACUUUUUCCCAAUCUCAUGGGAUCCAUUGGCCAGGUUUUCUCCCUUGUUGCUGCUGGACAUGGGCAAAAUAAAACUCUUUUCUAAAC
Molecule: long non-coding RNA, 894 nt
Filed under: Naja naja (Indian cobra)
Lineage: Eukaryota; Metazoa; Chordata; Lepidosauria; Squamata; Elapidae
Description: lncRNA (ENSNNAG00000003637.1)
Source: RNAcentral